GCUUCUCUCAGCUCUGGGAGCCUAGACACAGAAAGCCCAGGUCCUCCUUGUCAUCUCUCCUGCCUGGAGUCCAGUCACCCUUAUUCUGAUAAAAACUCUUGAAAGUUUUGUGGAAUCCUGAAAAGUUAGCAACAAUGAGGAGGGGGACCCAGGUGGGGGACAGUGAUUGUUCUGAGGGACGCUAACUGCAAACAGCACGCUGCCACAAGGACCUUCCUCGAACACAACUUUCCCCUGGAGGGCGAAGCGAGCAGAUUUCUGGAGCUUGAAAUGGCAAUCGUCAUUAGGGUAACCCGCUUCCCCAGAGCAUGUGCCCGGCUUGUCCUGGAAAUGACAAGAAUGGAGACGUGGCUGAGCACAGACACCAAGGCCUGAGGACGCUGAGACUUGGGGAUCUAUAUCAUCCUCCACGGAUCUCUCCAAAGCCAGUUUCUGUCCUAUAUAAUAUUCACCUCAUUGGGAUAUUUCCCCAUCAUUUCAAUGGGAUGUUAUAGUGAGAUAAACAUGCCAGACAAAAUUGAAUUCUGUGGGUUUAUUUAUUGAUUUAUUUAUUUUUGGAGGGGGAAGUCCAAUGAAUGUGAAUCAAAGCAACAUUUUGCACUUUACAUCAGAAUUGAUGUUGCUGGCAUAAUUAAGAAACUCAUUUCAUUAAGAAUUGCUAAUUACGAGAUGCUAAAAAACAAUAACCCUGGACUGUAUAUAUUUCAAGCUAGGAGAGACAUUUAUUAGAAGGAGAAAUGGUCUUAAGGAUUUCUAAAAAUGUGAAAUUAGAUGCCACCCAGAGGUCGCAUGGGCAGGGCUGGUGAGUGGAAUUGGAGUCUGAACCCCACAGUGAUGGGGAGCACAGGGAAAAAUGUUCCCCAAUCCAAGGACUUGGGCUGAGUUUCCUGAGACCAUCCAGGCAUGGGGCCUUGACCGCUUUCUCCCACCAAGCCCAGGGGCAGUGAAUCUGCAG
RNAcentral lists this long non-coding RNA (955 nucleotides) under Homo sapiens (human). Its description in RNAcentral is "HSALNT0279115". The record is from RNAcentral. Lineage: Eukaryota; Metazoa; Chordata; Mammalia; Primates; Hominidae.